Molecule: small nucleolar RNA, 106 nt
Organism: Antechinus flavipes (yellow-footed antechinus)
Lineage: Eukaryota; Metazoa; Chordata; Mammalia; Dasyuromorphia; Dasyuridae
Source: RefSeq, a predicted model, not a curated record
ACCUAAUGAUGGUGCUGCCAUGCUAGUCACAAAGAGUAGUAAUAUUUCUAUUAUUUGUGUGCUUUAUAGAGAUGACACAGAUUUUUACCACUGAAACCUCAGGGAC